GAUGAACGCUGGCGGCGUGCCUAAUACAUGCAAGUCGAGCAAACAGACGAGGAGCUUGCUCCUCUGACGUUAGCGGCGGACGGGUGAGUAACACGUGGAUAACCUACCUAUAAGACUGGGAUAACUUCGGGAAACCGGAGCUAAUACCGGAUAAUAUAUUGAACCGCAUGGUUCAAUAGUGAAAGACGGUUUUGCUGUCACUUAUAGAUGGAUCCGCGCCGCAUUAGCUAGUUGGUAAGGUAACGGCUUACCAAGGCAACGAUGCGUAGCCGACCUGAGAGGGUGACCGGCCACACUGGAACUGAGACACGGUCCAGACUCCUACGGGAGGCAGCAGUAGGGAAUCUUCCGCAAUGGGCGAAAGCCUGACGGAGCAACGCCGCGUGAGUGAUGAAGGUCUUCGGAUCGUAAAACUCUGUUAUUAGGGAAGAACAAAUGUGUAAGUAACUAUGCACGUCUUGACGGUACCUAAUCAGAAAGCCACGGCUAACUACGUG
Molecule: ribosomal RNA, 497 nt
Filed under: uncultured bacterium
Lineage: Bacteria
Description: partial 16S ribosomal RNA
Rfam family: Bacterial small subunit ribosomal RNA
Source: RNAcentral